This 1026-nucleotide ribosomal RNA is filed under the name Staphylococcus aureus. RNAcentral describes it as "partial 23S ribosomal RNA". It matches the Rfam family "Bacterial large subunit ribosomal RNA", at positions 1603 to 2630 of the family's 2925-position model. The record is from RNAcentral. Lineage: Bacteria; Bacillati; Bacillota; Bacilli; Caryophanales; Staphylococcaceae.
CACUGCCGAGAAAAGCCUCUAGAUAGAAAAUAGGUGCCCGUACCGCAAACCGACACAGGUAGUCAAGAUGAGAAUUCUAAGGUGAGCGAGCGAACUCUCGUUAAGGAACUCGGCAAAAUGACCCCGUAACUUCGGGAGAAGGGGUGCUCUUUAGGGUUAACGCCCAGAAGAGCCGCAGUGAAUAGGCCCAAGCGACUGUUUAUCAAAAACACAGGUCUCUGCUAAACCGUAAGGUGAUGUAUAGGGGCUGACGCCUGCCCGGUGCUGGAAGGUUAAGAGGAGUGGUUAGCUUCUGCGAAGCUACGAAUCGAAGCCCCAGUAAACGGCGGCCGUAACUAUAACGGUCCUAAGGUAGCGAAAUUCCUUGUCGGGUAAGUUCCGACCCGCACGAAAGGCGUAACGAUUUGGGCACUGUCUCAACGAGAGACUCGGUGAAAUCAUAGUACCUGUGAAGAUGCAGGUUACCCGCGACAGGACGGAAAGACCCCGUGGAGCUUUACUGUAGCCUGAUAUUGAAAUUCGGCACAGCUUGUACAGGAUAGGUAGGAGCCUUUGAAACGUGAGCGCUAGCUUACGUGGAGGCGCUGGUGGGAUACUACCCUAGCUGUGUUGGCUUUCUAACCCGCACCACUUAUCGUGGUGGGAGACAGUGUCAGGCGGGCAGUUUGACUGGGGCGGUCGCCUCCUAAAAGGUAACGGAGGCGCUCAAAGGUUCCCUCAGAAUGGUUGGAAAUCAUUCAUAGAGUGUAAAGGCAUAAGGGAGCUUGACUGCGAGACCUACAAGUCGAGCAGGGUCGAAAGACGGACUUAGUGAUCCGGUGGUUCCGCAUGGAAGGGCCAUCGCUCAACGGAUAAAAGCUACCCCGGGGAUAACAGGCUUAUCUCCCCCAAGAGUUCACAUCGACGGGGAGGUUUGGCACCUCGAUGUCGGCUCAUCGCAUCCUGGGGCUGUAGUCGGUCCCAAGGGUUGGGCUGUUCGCCCAUUAAAGCGGUACGCGAGCUGGGUUCAGAACGUCGUGAGACAGU